CGCGAAAACUCCAACUGUACGGAAGUACGAUGGGGUUAUCUCGAGUGCAGUCCGAUAAGGGCUGCUUUUCCAUAAAGUAAUAUCCUGUGGGAAUAAGAGGGGGGCAAGACUGGUGUCAGCCGCCGCGGUAACACCAGCCCCUCGAGUGGUAGGGACUUUUAUUUGGCCUAAAGCGUCCGUAGCUGGCUGUAUCCGUUUCCCGGCAAAUCCGGCGUCUUAAGCGUCGGGCUUCGGGUAAUACCAUACAGCUUGAGGGUGGGAUAGGUGAGCGGUAUUUCUGGGGUAGGGGCGAAAUCCUUUGAUCCCAGGAGGACCACCAGUGGCGAAGGCUGCUCACUAGGACACGCCUGACGGUCAGGGACGAAAGCUGGGGCAGCGAACCGGAUUAGAUACCCGGGUAGUCCCAGCUGUAAACGAUGCUGCUAGGUGUUGGGUCGGCCACGCGCCGCCCCAGUGCCGCAGGGAAGCCGUUAAGCUAGCCGCCUGGGGAGUACGGCCGCAAGGCUGAAACUUAAAGGAAUUGGCGGGGGAGCA
This 534-nucleotide ribosomal RNA is filed under the name uncultured archaeon. RNAcentral's name for it is "bacterial SSU rRNA". It matches the Rfam family "Archaeal small subunit ribosomal RNA", at positions 340 to 878 of the family's 1478-position model. The record is from RNAcentral.